CCAAUAGCGUAUAUUAAAGUUGCUGCAGUUAAAAAGCUCGUAGUUGAAUUUCGGGACUAAUAUGUCGGUCGUGCCUCGGUACGUACUGGUAUUUUUGGUUUCUCCCUUCUGACGAACCUUGAUGUCAUUAAUUUGGUGUCUUGGGAAAUCAGGACUGUUACUUUGAAAAAAUUAGAGUGUUUAAAGCAGGCUCACGCUUGAAUACAUUAGCAUGGAAUAAUGAAAUAGGACGUUUGAUUCUAUUUUGUUGGUUUCUAGGAUCGACGUAAUGAUUAAUAGUGAUAGUUUGGGGCAUUAGUAUUCAAUUGUCAGAGGUGAAAUUCUUGGAUUUAUUGAAGACUAACUACUGCGAAAGCAUUUGCCAAGGAUGUUUUCAUUAAUCAAGAACGAAAGUUAGGGGAUCGAAGACGAUCAGAUACCGUCGUAGUCUUAACCAUAAACUAUGCCGACUAGGGAUCGGAUGAUGUUAAUUUUUUAAUGACUCAUUCGGCGCCUUACG
This 499-nucleotide ribosomal RNA is filed under the name uncultured Glomeromycotina. RNAcentral's name for it is "partial small subunit ribosomal RNA". It matches the Rfam family "Eukaryotic small subunit ribosomal RNA", at positions 591 to 1092 of the family's 1831-position model. Lineage: Eukaryota; Fungi; Glomeromycota. The record is from RNAcentral.